GUCGGUGCAAACCGGAACCUCCAAAGUCAGUGAAGUGUGUACGUAUGUAUGUGUAAGCGUUAUCGAGGGGUGCCGACGUCGGGGGAAACCCUCCUGUCAGAACGGGAUAGAGCGAAAGACAAAGACCGGAAAACAACUAAAGCGCCCUUGUGGCGCUUUAGUUUU
RNAcentral lists this small RNA (165 nucleotides) under Beauveria bassiana D1-5. RNAcentral describes it as "sraL Hfq binding RNA". It matches the Rfam family "sraL Hfq binding RNA". Rfam says of the family: The SraL RNA ('sra' for small RNA), discovered in E. coli, and later in Salmonella Tiphimurium. The record is from Rfam by way of RNAcentral. Lineage: Eukaryota; Fungi; Ascomycota; Sordariomycetes; Hypocreales; Cordycipitaceae.